This 126-nucleotide small RNA is filed under the name Salmonella enterica subsp. enterica serovar Infantis. RNAcentral's name for it is "RtT sRNA". It matches the Rfam family "RtT RNA". Rfam says of the family: This family represents a bacterial cis-regulatory element known as RtT RNA. RNAcentral also lists the same sequence under 117 other names. Lineage: Bacteria; Pseudomonadati; Pseudomonadota; Gammaproteobacteria; Enterobacterales; Enterobacteriaceae. The record is from RNAcentral.
UUGCUAUCUGCGAUAUGGAAGAUUCGAACCUGCCGCAGGUUCGGGUCGAACGCAGUGAGACAACGGAGCCGUUUACGGCGACGGCCCGAAGGGCGAGCGAAGCGAGUCAUCCUGCACGACCCAUCA